CCAACUGCCUUGAGCCCAGCAAAGUGGAUGACAGAGUCAAAUUUUGUUUUAGAGAAAACUUUUUCUAGAGCUGGCUUGUCCCGGAGGUCAACCUGGUGAAACAAGAGAUUCUUUUUGUGUUCGCCGGCGAGUUCCUUGACUCUUUCGAGAGCAACAGCGGAGGAAUUAUCGAGAUUAUCGACAACGACAGGCGGAGUAACCGCCUAAAAGGAGUUGAAGAACUGUGUGACUCCCAAUGUAACCGGCACCACCGGUGACCAGAAUAUUCUUCGCCAUGAGCGAAACCUCACAGAGUAACUUACAGAGAGAGAAAAGCGGUAGCAGUUAUAGUUUCUUUUGGGGGGACUUAUAGAGAAGCA
This 359-nucleotide unclassified non-coding RNA is filed under the name Hevea brasiliensis (rubber tree). The record is from RNAcentral. Lineage: Eukaryota; Viridiplantae; Streptophyta; Magnoliopsida; Malpighiales; Euphorbiaceae.